RNAcentral lists this ribosomal RNA (253 nucleotides) under uncultured bacterium. RNAcentral's name for it is "partial 16S ribosomal RNA". It matches the Rfam family "Bacterial small subunit ribosomal RNA", at positions 524 to 776 of the family's 1533-position model. The record is from RNAcentral.
UACGGAGGGGGUAAGCGUUGUUCGGAAUUACUGGGCGUAAAGGGCGCGUAGGCGGCCAACUAAGUCGGACGUGAAAUCCCUCAGCUUAACUGGGGAACUGCGUCCGAUACUGGAUGGCUUGGAUUUGGGAGAGGGAUGCGGAAUUCCAGGUGUAGCGGUGAAAUGCGUAGAUAUCUGGAGGAACACCGGUGGCGAAGGCGGCAUCCUGGACCAAUAUUGACGCUGAGGAGCGAAAGCCAGGGGAGCAAACGGG